UGGAUAGGUCUCAAGCAUUCAAGAACAACGAAGGAAAAGAUAUAAAGGCAGUUCAUCCAAAUCUCUAGGAGAGAUGGGUCUUGAAUUCCUCAUGGGGAAUCUUAUCCAUGGAUGGAGGUCUUGUGCUCAAAGAGCCUUCACCCCUUAGGGGUUGUUUGGAUAGAUGGUAUAUACAAAACUCAAUUCCUAUAAACUAGAAAAGUUAUCUAACCAAAUAGAAUCUUGGUUGGCUAUUCUAAUUAAUCUGCGUAUAUGAAGUUGGACACCUAACCAAAUAGAAUCUUGGUUGGCUAUUCUAAUUAAUCUGCGUAUAUGAAGAACUUAUUUCUAGGAAACUUAGAAUUUCACG
Molecule: long non-coding RNA, 349 nt
Filed under: Hordeum vulgare
Lineage: Eukaryota; Viridiplantae; Streptophyta; Magnoliopsida; Poales; Poaceae
Description: long non-coding RNA (HVUL_LNC012033)
Source: RNAcentral